Molecule: ribosomal RNA, 2924 nt
Filed under: Staphylococcus aureus
Lineage: Bacteria; Bacillati; Bacillota; Bacilli; Caryophanales; Staphylococcaceae
Description: 23S ribosomal RNA
Rfam family: Bacterial large subunit ribosomal RNA
Source: RNAcentral
GAUUAAGUUAUUAAGGGCGCACGGUGGAUGCCUUGGCACUAGAAGCCGAUGAAGGACGUUACUAACGACGAUAUGCUUUGGGGAGCUGUAAGUAAGCUUUGAUCCAGAGAUUUCCGAAUGGGGAAACCCAACAUGAGUUAUGUCAUGUUAUCGAUAUGUGAAUACAUAGCAUAUCAGAAGGCACACCCGGAGAACUGAAACAUCUUAGUACCCGGAGGAAGAGAAAGAAAAUUCGAUUCCCUUAGUAGCGGCGAGCGAAACGGGAAGAGCCCAAACCAACAAGCUUGCUUGUUGGGGUUGUAGGACACUCUAUACGGAGUUACAAAGGACGACAUUAGACGAAUCAUCUGGAAAGAUGAAUCAAAGAAGGUAAUAAUCCUGUAGUCGAAAAUGUUGUCUCUCUUGAGUGGAUCCUGAGUACGACGGAGCACGUGAAAUUCCGUCGGAAUCUGGGAGGACCAUCUCCUAAGGCUAAAUACUCUCUAGUGACCGAUAGUGAACCAGUACCGUGAGGGAAAGGUGAAAAGCACCCCGGAAGGGGAGUGAAAUAGAACCUGAAACCGUGUGCUUACAAGUAGUCAGAGCCCGUUAAUGGGUGAUGGCGUGCCUUUUGUAGAAUGAACCGGCGAGUUACGAUUUGAUGCAAGGUUAAGCAGUAAAUGUGGAGCCGUAGCGAAAGCGCGAGUCUGAAUAGGGCGUUUAGUAUUUGGUCGUAGACCCGAAACCAGGUGAUCUACCCUUGGUCAGGUUGAAGUUCAGGUAACACUGAAUGGAGGACCGAACCGACUUACGUUGAAAAGUGAGCGGAUGAACUGAGGGUAGCGGAGAAAUUCCAAUCGAACCUGGAGAUAGCUGGUUCUCUCCGAAAUAGCUUUAGGGCUAGCCUCAAGUGAUGAUUAUUGGAGGUAGAGCACUGUUUGGACGAGGGGCCCCUCUCGGGUUACCGAAUUCAGACAAACUCCGAAUGCCAAUUAAUUUAACUUGGGAGUCAGAACAUGGGUGAUAAGGUCCGUGUUCGAAAGGGAAACAGCCCAGACCACCAGCUAAGGUCCCAAAAUAUAUGUUAAGUGGAAAAGGAUGUGGCGUUGCCCAGACAACUAGGAUGUUGGCUUAGAAGCAGCCAUCAUUUAAAGAGUGCGUAAUAGCUCACUAGUCGAGUGACACUGCGCCGAAAAUGUACCGGGGCUAAACAUAUUACCGAAGCUGUGGAUUGUCCUUUGGACAAUGGUAGGAGAGCGUUCUAAGGGCGUUGAAGCAUGAUCGUAAGGACAUGUGGAGCGCUUAGAAGUGAGAAUGCCGGUGUGAGUAGCGAAAGACGGGUGAGAAUCCCGUCCACCGAUUGACCAAGGUUUCCAGAGGAAGGCUCGUCCGCUCUGGGUUAGUCGGGUCCUAAGCUGAGGCCGACAGGCGUAAGCGAUGGAUAACAGGUUGAUAUUCCUGUACCACCUAUAAUCGUUUUAAUCGAUGGGGGGACGCAGUAGGAUAGGCGAAGCGUGCGAUUGGAUUGCACGUCUAAGCAGUAAGGCUGAGUAUUAGGCAAAUCCGGUACUCGUUAAGGCUGAGCUGUGAUGGGGAGAAGACAUUGUGUCUUCGAGUCGUUGAUUUCACACUGCCGAGAAAAGCCUCUAGAUAGAAAAUAGGUGCCCGUACCGCAAACCGACACAGGUAGUCAAGAUGAGAAUUCUAAGGUGAGCGAGCGAACUCUCGUUAAGGAACUCGGCAAAAUGACCCCGUAACUUCGGGAGAAGGGGUGCUCUUUAGGGUUAACGCCCAGAAGAGCCGCAGUGAAUAGGCCCAAGCGACUGUUUAUCAAAAACACAGGUCUCUGCUAAACCGUAAGGUGAUGUAUAGGGGCUGACGCCUGCCCGGUGCUGGAAGGUUAAGAGGAGUGGUUAGCUUCUGCGAAGCUACGAAUCGAAGCCCCAGUAAACGGCGGCCGUAACUAUAACGGUCCUAAGGUAGCGAAAUUCCUUGUCGGGUAAGUUCCGACCCGCACGAAAGGCGUAACGAUUUGGGCACUGUCUCAACGAGAGACUCGGUGAAAUCAUAGUACCUGUGAAGAUGCAGGUUACCCGCGACAGGACGGAAAGACCCCGUGGAGCUUUACUGUAGCCUGAUAUUGAAAUUCGGCACAGCUUGUACAGGAUAGGUAGGAGCCUUUGAAACGUGAGCGCUAGCUUACGUGGAGGCGCUGGUGGGAUACUACCCUAGCUGUGUUGGCUUUCUAACCCGCACCACUUAUCGUGGUGGGAGACAGUGUCAGGCGGGCAGUUUGACUGGGGCGGUCGCCUCCUAAAAGGUAACGGAGGCGCUCAAAGGUUCCCUCAGAAUGGUUGGAAAUCAUUCAUAGAGUGUAAAGGCAUAAGGGAGCUUGACUGCGAGACCUACAAGUCGAGCAGGGUCGAAAGACGGACUUAGUGAUCCGGUGGUUCCGCAUGGAAGGGCCAUCGCUCAACGGAUAAAAGCUACCCCGGGGAUAACAGGCUUAUCUCCCCCAAGAGUUCACAUCGACGGGGAGGUUUGGCACCUCGAUGUCGGCUCAUCGCAUCCUGGGGCUGUAGUCGGUCCCAAGGGUUGGGCUGUUCGCCCAUUAAAGCGGUACGCGAGCUGGGUUCAGAACGUCGUGAGACAGUUCGGUCCCUAUCCGUCGUGGGCGUAGGAAAUUUGAGAGGAGCUGUCCUUAGUACGAGAGGACCGGGAUGGACAUACCUCUGGUGUACCAGUUGUCGUGCCAACGGCAUAGCUGGGUAGCUAUGUGUGGACGGGAUAAGUGCUGAAAGCAUCUAAGCAUGAAGCCCCCUCAAGAUGAGAUUUCCCAACUUCGGUUAUAAGAUCCCUCAAAGAUGAUGAGGUUAAUAGGUUCGAGGUGGAAGCAUGGUGACAUGUGGAGCUGACGAAUACUAAUCGAUCGAAGACUUAAUCAA